UUAAAUGUAGUUUAAAAAAAACAUUAUAUUUUCAUUAUAAAAAUAAUUUAAUUUUAAUUUAUUUAAA
RNAcentral lists this transfer RNA (67 nucleotides) under Atta sexdens rubropilosa. RNAcentral describes it as "tRNA-Glu". The record is from RNAcentral. Lineage: Eukaryota; Metazoa; Arthropoda; Insecta; Hymenoptera; Formicidae.